RNAcentral lists this ribosomal RNA (253 nucleotides) under uncultured bacterium. RNAcentral's name for it is "partial 16S ribosomal RNA". It matches the Rfam family "Bacterial small subunit ribosomal RNA", at positions 524 to 776 of the family's 1533-position model. The record is from RNAcentral.
UACGUAGGUGGCAAGCGUUGUCCGGAUUUAUUGGGUUUAAAGGAUGCGUAGGCGGUUCUAUAAGUCAGUGGUGAAAUACGGCAGCUCAACUGUCGAAAUGCCAUUGAUACUGUGGAACUUGAGUACAGACGAGGUAGGCGGAAUUGACGGUGUAACGAUGAAAUGCUUAGAUAUCGUCAAGAACACCGAUAGCGAAAGCAGCUUACUAGACUGUAACUGACGCUGAGGCACGAAAGUGUGGGGAUCAAACAGG